Molecule: long non-coding RNA, 840 nt
Filed under: Gossypium barbadense (sea-island cotton)
Lineage: Eukaryota; Viridiplantae; Streptophyta; Magnoliopsida; Malvales; Malvaceae
Description: long non-coding RNA (GBAR_LNC022741)
Source: RNAcentral
UGGCAAAUCUAUGGUAAAAAAGUUGAAAAACAGGAGCAAAACAACAAGGGUUAUUUUUUAUUGCAAAUUUAGACCUGGGCCCGGACCAAAAAAAUUUUUACCCAAGAAUUGACCUAUUUUCUAAAAAUGUAUUAUUCUUUUUUUAAAAUUUAUUUUUUAGAUUUAUAUUUUUAUCUAAACACUUUCAAUUUUUGAAUAAGCCUUCGGACUGGACCGGGUCACCAUACCAUGAACAACUCUAGUUUUGGAUGACCCUGGUAAUGUGUGGCUCUGGAAAUUGGAACAGGAGUAUAACCCAACAAUUGCGACUGCAGUAGCGCAAGUAUGUGCCGUUGUGUAGUGUGAGAAAACCAGUAUGACCGAAAAGGGUGAGUGGCUGGGAGAGGUAUAGGUGCCAUUGCAGGUCGUCGGUUGUGGCCAAUUUUCGUAGAAUGAUGGACUUUGUGGGGUUGCUGAUCUUAACUAAGCUAAUUUACAUUUGAUCCAUGGAUCUUUAUUUGUCGCUUUUUAUUACACCCACAUGACAUGAAUCUCUUUCACUCCCCUGCUUCACUACCUUAACAAAACAGAGUUUAGAAAGUAAAAAAAAAAAAAAAACAGAAUAAAAGAUUAGAAGUUUUCGAUGUUUCUUUUCCAUAAAAUGGAAAUUUCAGACUCAAGUACUCAAAGCCACCAAUUAAACUGAUUGUUCUCAAUCUGAUUUAAAUCUUUGGAAGGCUAAAAUAUUUAUCAUUGUAUUAGUUUAUAAACUCAUAAAAGUUUUACCAUUUUUGGGACCAAAGCCCCUGCCUCCCCUGGUGCUACCCUGUUCACAGAGGAAUGCCCUCCUGUUUAUAUCCU